ACGCUCUGUCGUCCUCGUCCGAACUUCCUCACGAUUGAUCGUUCCCGAAGCACGACGCUCCGAGGUCCGAACCUCCUGAUGACUACUUGUAGUGAUUGUUCGCGAAGAAGAACGAUGCCCCACAGUCCGAACCUCUUGCCUACUUGUAGUGAUCUUUCCCGAAGAACGAUUCUCCGAGGUCCGAACCUGCUGACGACUUGUAGUGAUCGUUCCCGAGGAACGAUGCUCCCCCGUCCGGACCUCUUCGCGAGUUGAAGAGAUCCUUCUUG
RNAcentral lists this long non-coding RNA (269 nucleotides) under Brassica rapa (field mustard). RNAcentral describes it as "long non-coding RNA (BRAP_LNC006656)". Lineage: Eukaryota; Viridiplantae; Streptophyta; Magnoliopsida; Brassicales; Brassicaceae. The record is from RNAcentral.